This is a long non-coding RNA of Macrobrachium nipponense, 341 nucleotides long. RefSeq lists it as uncharacterized. The record is from RefSeq and is a predicted model, not a curated record. The transcript has 3 exons. NCBI's taxonomy places the organism in Eukaryota, Metazoa, Arthropoda, Malacostraca, Decapoda, Palaemonidae.
UGCAACGAAAAGUUGCCAUUUUUAGAUUGUGUUGCAUCUGUAAUUCUUAAAUUUUUGGUUAAAUUGUUAAAUGAAAUAACGAAAGGAAUUAUUUGGAAGAUAAGUUAUCACAGUACAACCACUGCAAGAUUUUGUCUACAUUUUGCCUUUGGAUGCUUUGCUAGCUGGUUCAGGAUGGUGUCAUAGGAGGAAAAUUAUGAGGACAUUCCUUUCUUAUAAAUCCAGAAUUACCUUCAACAGUAUUGACAUUACGGUGACCUACAGCCUGAAACUUCUUGAAGGAAGUAAGCUACAUAUUUUGAAGAAAGUAACUGUAGUAUUCUGAAGAAGCUGUCUCACAC